GGAAAAGGGUGGUAAUGCCGGAUGCUCCAGCUCAUUGCAUGGUGUGUUGGGAAAGCCUUUGCGGCAUGGGAUGGGGUCGCGUCCUAUCAGCUUGAUGGCGGGGUAACGGCCCACCAUGGCUUCGACGGGUAGCCGGCCUGAGAGGGCGACCGGCCACAUUGGGACUGAGAUACGGCCCAGACUCCUACGGGAGGCAGCAGUGGGGAAUAUUGCACAAUGGGCGCAAGCCUGAUGCAGCGACGCCGCGUGAGGGAUGGAGGCCUUCGGGUUGUAAACCUCUUUUGUUAGGGAGCAAGGCAUUUUGUGUUGAGUGUACCUUUCGAAUAAGCACCGGCUAACUACGUGCCAGCAGCCGCGGUAAUACGUAGGGUGCAAGCGUUAUCCGGAAUUAUUGGGCGUAAAGGGCUCGUAGGCGGUUCGUCGCGUCCGGUGUGAAAGUCCAUCGCUUAACGGUGGAUCCGCGCCGGGUACGGGCGGGCUUGAGUGCGGUAGGGGAGACUGGAAUUCCCGGUGUAACGGUGGAAUGUGUAGAUAUCGGAAAGAAACACCA
RNAcentral lists this ribosomal RNA (550 nucleotides) under Bifidobacterium breve. RNAcentral describes it as "bacterial SSU rRNA". It matches the Rfam family "Bacterial small subunit ribosomal RNA", at positions 152 to 711 of the family's 1533-position model. Lineage: Bacteria; Bacillati; Actinomycetota; Actinomycetes; Bifidobacteriales; Bifidobacteriaceae. The record is from RNAcentral.